UUUAUGGAGAGUUUGAUCCUGGCUCAGAGUGAACGCUGGCGGCGUGCCUAAUACAUGCAAGUCGAACGAUGAAGCUUCUAGCUUGCUAGAAUGCUGAUUAGUGGCGCACGGGUGAGUAACGCAUAGGUUAUGUGCCUCUUAGUUUGGGAUAGCCAUUGGAAACGAUGAUUAAUACCAGAUACUCCCUACGGGGGAAAGAUUUAUCGCUAAGAGAUCAGCCUAUGUCCUAUCAGCUUGUUGGUAAGGUAAUGGCUUACCAAGGCUAUGACGGGUAUCCGGCCUGAGAGGGUGAACGGACACACUGGAACUGAGACACGGUCCAGACUCCUACGGGAGGCAGCAGUAGGGAAUAUUGCUCAAUGGGGGAAACCCUGAAGCAGCAACGCCGCGUGGAGGAUGAAGGUUUUAGGAUUGUAAACUCCUUUUGUUAGAGAAGAUAAUGACGGUAUCUAACGAAUAAGCACCGGCUAACUCCGUGCCAGCAGCCGCGGUAAUACGGAGGGUGCAAGCGUUACUCGGAAUCACUGGGCGUAAAGAGCGCGUAGGCGGGAUAGUCAGUCAGGUGUGAAAUCCUAUGGCUUAACCAUAGAACUGCAUUUGAAACUACUAUUCUAGAGUGUGGGAGAGGUAGGUGGAAUUCUUGGUGUAGGGGUAAAAUCCGUAGAGAUCAAGAGGAAUACUCAUUGCGAAGGCGACCUGCUGGAACAUUACUGACGCUGAUUGCGCGAAAGCGUGGGGAGCAAACAGGAUUAGAUACCCUGGUAGUCCACGCCCUAAACGAUGGAUGCUAGUUGUUGGAGGGCUUAGUCUCUCCAGUAAUGCAGCUAACGCAUUAAGCAUCCCGCCUGGGGAGUACGGUCGCAAGAUUAAAACUCAAAGGAAUAGACGGGGACCCGCACAAGCGGUGGAGCAUGUGGUUUAAUUCGAAGAUACACGAAGAACCUUACCUAGGCUUGACAUUGAGAGAAUCCGCUAGAAAUAGUGGAGUGUCUAGCUUGCUAGACCUUGAAAACAGGUGCUGCACGGCUGUCGUCAGCUCGUGUCGUGAGAUGUUGGGUUAAGUCCCGCAACGAGCGCAACCCCCUUUCUUAGUUGCUAACAGGUUAUGCUGAGAACUCUAAGGAUACUGCCUCCGUAAGGAGGAGGAAGGUGGGGACGACGUCAAGUCAUCAUGGCCCUUACGCCUAGGGCUACACACGUGCUACAAUGGGGUGCACAAAGAGAAGCAAUACUGCGAAGUGGAGCCAAUCUUCAAAACACCUCUCAGUUCGGAUUGUAGGCUGCAACUCGCCUGCAUGAAGCUGGAAUCGCUAGUAAUCGCAAAUCAGCCAUGUUGCGGUGAAUACGUUCCCGGGUCUUGUACUCACCGCCCGUCACACCAUGGGAGUUGUGUUUGCCUUAAGUCAGGAUGCUAAAUUAGCUACUGCCCACGGCACACACAGCGACUGGGGUGAAGUCGUAACAAGGUAACCGUAGGUGAACCUGCGGUUGGAUCACCUCCUUUCUAGA
Molecule: ribosomal RNA, 1509 nt
Filed under: Helicobacter pylori
Lineage: Bacteria; Pseudomonadati; Campylobacterota; Epsilonproteobacteria; Campylobacterales; Helicobacteraceae
Description: bacterial SSU rRNA
Rfam family: Bacterial small subunit ribosomal RNA
Source: RNAcentral